RNAcentral lists this transfer RNA (74 nucleotides) under Loxodonta africana (African savanna elephant). It matches the Rfam family "tRNA". Rfam says of the family: Transfer RNA (tRNA) molecules are approximately 80 nucleotides in length. Their secondary structure includes four short double-helical elements and three loops (D, anti-codon, and T loops). Lineage: Eukaryota; Metazoa; Chordata; Mammalia; Proboscidea; Elephantidae. The record is from Rfam by way of RNAcentral.
GCCUCAGUGGUUCAGAUGGUUAAAGUGCUUGGCUACUAACUGAAAGGGUAGAAGUUCAAAUCUACUCAGGGGCA